Molecule: ribosomal RNA, 433 nt
Filed under: uncultured bacterium
Lineage: Bacteria
Description: partial 16S ribosomal RNA
Rfam family: Bacterial small subunit ribosomal RNA
Source: RNAcentral
AACGAACGCUGGCGGCAGGCCUAACACAUGCAAGUCGAGCGGUCCUUUCGGGGUCAGCUGCGGACGGGUGAGUAACGCGUGGUAAUAUGCACUUCUCUACGGAAUAGUCCUGGGAAACUUAGGGUAAUACCGUGUACGCCCUUUGGGGGAAAUAUUUAGCGGGCGAGGAUGAGCCCGCGGUGGAUUAGGUAGUUUGGGGGGUGAGGUCCUACCCAGCCGACGAGCCAUAGCGGGUUUGAGCGGAUGAUCAGCCACACUGGGACUGCGACACGACGCAGACUUCGACAGGAGGCCGCAGUGGGCAAUCUCCGGAAGCGGCGACAACGCGGAUCGAGCGAUGCCGUGUGAGUUAUGAACGUCUUACGGUUAUAAAGCUCUUUCAGCUAGGAAGAUGAUGAGGGUACCAGCAGAAGAAGCGCCGGCUAACUCCGUG